This 548-nucleotide ribosomal RNA is filed under the name uncultured Edaphobacter sp. Its description in RNAcentral is "bacterial SSU rRNA". It matches the Rfam family "Bacterial small subunit ribosomal RNA", at positions 338 to 902 of the family's 1533-position model. The record is from RNAcentral. Lineage: Bacteria; Pseudomonadati; Acidobacteriota; Terriglobia; Terriglobales; Acidobacteriaceae.
CCUACGGGAGGCAGCAGUGGGGAAUUUUGCGCAAUGGGGGAAACCCUGACGCAGCAACGCCGCGUGGAGGAUGAAAUCCCUUGGGAUGUAAACUCCUUUCGAUAGGGAAGAUAAUGACGGUACCUAUAGAAGAAGCCCCGGCUAACUUCGUGCCAGCAGCCGCGGUAAUACGAGGGGGGCAAGCGUUGUUCGGAAUUAUUGGGCGUAAAGGGUGCGUAGGCGGUUUGACAAGUCUUAUGUGAAAUCUUCGGGCUCAACCCGAAGUCUGCAUGGGAAACUGUCGGGCUUGAGUAUGGGAGAGGUGAGUGGAAUUUCCGGUGUAGCGGUGAAAUGCGUAGAUAUCGGAAGGAACACCUGUGGCGAAAGCGGCUCACUGGACCAUAACUGACGCUGAUGCACGAAAGCUAGGGGAGCAAACAGGAUUAGAUACCCUGGUAGUCCUAGCCCUAAACGAUGAUUGUUUGAUGUGGGGGGUACCCAAUCCUCCCGUGUCGAAGCUAACGCGAUAAACCAUCCGCCUGGGGAGUACGGUCGCAAGGCUGAAACUC